This is a non-coding RNA of Paramuricea clavata, 733 nucleotides long. NCBI's taxonomy places the organism in Eukaryota, Metazoa, Cnidaria, Anthozoa, Malacalcyonacea, Plexauridae. The record is from the annotation of a GenBank genome assembly.
GUGAAGAAUUCGAGAGUUGUCAGAUAUUAAGUUGGAAAUAAAAGUGGAAACGUUAUUGUCAGCGUCAGUUGGGUUGUUAAGUUUGUCAAAAACAAAGUGUAGGUUUACAAUGUAUUGCACAUGUUCGCAGUUGUGAAAAUGCUGUCCAAUAGCACUUUUGGUCGGAUUGGUAUGUUCAGCGAGUCGCGUCUGUAAACGUCUUUCUGUUUUCCCAAUAUACGUUGCGGAACAGCCAGGACAUGUCACCUCAUAAACUACAUUAGAUUUUGAAAGAUUCGGAAUUUUGUCUUUGUUGGAAAGGAAAUAAGAAAACUUUUUGUUGUCAUAAACAACUAUAAAAUUUACAGGAACAGUUAGGCAUCUUUGUAUUUUCUUUAUGCAACUUUUAACUAAAGUUUCACCUUGUUUACCAAGGUAUGGAACGCGAACCCAAAGCUUAGGCCUAGUGUCGUUUUCAUCAAAAAAGUUAGUGCGAGGUCGAUCCGCAGAAAAUUUGUUUUUUAGUUUGGAUAUCAAUAAAUUCCUGAUCGCACGAGGAAAGCCAUUCCAAGACAUAAACAUUUUAAGCUUCCGAACUUGGUUAUCAAAUAGUUGACUGGUACUGCAUAAUUUUGAUGCUCGGUGAAACAAAGAUUUAACCCACGCAGUUUUACGUGAAAAUGGUUCAAAACUAGAAAAAUGUGUGUAUUGUCCAGUGUGCGUACUUUUGUAGUAAACAUCAGUGUUAUCCGAC